Molecule: ribosomal RNA, 253 nt
Filed under: uncultured bacterium
Lineage: Bacteria
Description: partial 16S ribosomal RNA
Rfam family: Bacterial small subunit ribosomal RNA
Source: RNAcentral
UACGUAGGGUGCGAGCGUUAAUCGGAAUUACUGGGCGUAAAGUGUGCGCAGGCGGCGCCGCAUGUCGAGUGUGAAAGCCCCGAGCUUAACUUGGGAAUUGCGCUCGAAACUACGGUGCUGGAGUGUGGCAGAGGAAGGUGGAAUUCCGGGUGUAGUGGUGAAAUGCGUAGAGAUCCGGAGGAACCCCAGAGGCGAAGGCGGCGUCCUGGCUCGCAUCUGACGCUCAGACACGACAGCAUGGGGAGCGAACGGG